This 497-nucleotide ribosomal RNA is filed under the name uncultured bacterium. RNAcentral's name for it is "partial 16S ribosomal RNA". It matches the Rfam family "Bacterial small subunit ribosomal RNA", at positions 28 to 507 of the family's 1533-position model. The record is from RNAcentral.
GAUGAACGCUGGCGGCGUGCCUAAUACAUGCAAGUCGAGCGAACGGACGAGAAGCUUGCUUCUCUGAUGUUAGCGGCGGACGGGUGAGUAACACGUGGAUAACCUACCUAUAAGACUGGGAUAACUUCGGGAAACCGGAGCUAAUACCGGAUAAUAUUUUGAACCGCAUGGUUCAAAAGUGAAAGACGGUCUUGCUGUCACUUAUAGAUGGAUCCGCGCUGCAUUAGUUAGUUGGUAAGGUAACGGCUUACCAAGGCAACGAUGCAUAGCCGACCUGAGAGGGUGAUCGGCCACACUGGAACUGAGACACGGUCCAGACUCCUACGGGAGGCAGCAGUAGGGAAUCUUCCGCAAUGGGCGAAAGCCUGACGGAGCAACGCCGCGUGAGUGAUGAAGGUCUUCGGGUCGUAAAACUCUGUUAUUAGGGAAGAACAUAUGUGUAAGUAACUGUGCACAUCUUGACGGUACCUAAUCAGAAAGCCACGGCUAACUACGUG